GGUGCAGCAGGCGCGAAACCUUUACACUGCACGCAAGUGCGAUAAGGGGACCCCAAGUGCGAGGGCAUAUAGUCCUCGCUUUUCUCGACUGUAAGGCGGUCGUGGAAUAAGAGCUGGGCAAGACCGGUGCCAGCCGCCGCGGUAAUACCGGCAGCUCAAGUGAUGACCGAUAUUAUUGGGCCUAAAGCGUCCGUAGCCGGCCAUGAAGGUUCAUCGGGAAAUCCGCCAGCUCAACUGGCGGGCGUCCGGUGAAAACCACAUGGCUUGGGACCGGAAGGCUCGAGGGGUACGUCCGGGGUAGGAGUGAAAUCCCGUAAUCCUGGACGGACCACCGAUGGCGAAAGCACCUCGAGAAGACGGAUCCGACGGUGAGGGACGAAAGCUAGGGUCUCGAACCGGAUUAGAUACCCGGGUAGUCCUAGCUGUAAACGAUGCUCGCUAGGUGUGACACAGGCUACGAGCCUGUGUUGUGCCGUAGGGAAGCCGAGAAGCGAGCCGCC
Molecule: ribosomal RNA, 500 nt
Filed under: Haloferax volcanii
Lineage: Archaea; Methanobacteriati; Methanobacteriota; Halobacteria; Halobacteriales; Haloferacaceae
Description: bacterial SSU rRNA
Rfam family: Archaeal small subunit ribosomal RNA
Source: RNAcentral